UGGUGUGGGGCUGUUAUCAGCACACUUUGGGCCUCUUGGUACCAGCUGAGCAUCAUU
Molecule: microRNA precursor, 57 nt
Filed under: Oreochromis niloticus (Nile tilapia)
Lineage: Eukaryota; Metazoa; Chordata; Actinopteri; Cichliformes; Cichlidae
Description: microRNA oni-mir-10886 precursor
Source: miRBase by way of RNAcentral